AACAGACGCUGUUGGCCAUCCCUGAAACAUGCGGGUGUCAUGCUCCGGCUCCUGCUGACUCAGGGCAAACCUGAUCCUAGCCAGAGGUGGAGCAUGCAGCCAGGAAGAACAUGGACACGGUAUGUUCACACACACAGCGCUCGGCCCACCACUCGCCCACGAACAUUUUUCACGCCACUCAGCCAAAGGCAAAUGCCUGCCCUACGCAAGACCAGCUCAGAAAUCCAUGACUUCCAAAGUUGGCUCUGUGAUUAUCAGCGCGUGCCAAGGAGCCUGUGUCUCCCUGAGAUCUGAAACCUUGGCAGGAAGCUGAGAUGAGAGAUUGUUGCAGGGAUGGUGAAGAACUGGUAUCCUUUGCAAGAAAAAUACUAACUGGUGGCUCCGCCGUGCUUCAUUUCUGGCAGAGCCCUGACUUGGAUGCACUCUGACUGUCGAACAAUAGCCCUAAACGACAGAAGGUUCUGAAGUCUCACCCGUGUGGCAGGGGCACAUUUGAUCCAGGUUCCCAUGGCUGCACAUGGCUCCAGCACGAUCAGCCACGGUUCACCUGCGCAUUCUUUCUCUGAUGGCCGGCACCCGGCUGCCUCCAAUGCUCUCCCACAUACCUCCUCCACACUGAACAGCCUCAAACCCGUGGACCGCGGCAGAUCCCAUGGAAUGCCUCUGGGUUGUAUACUCAGCAGCGUAACCACUGGGUCAUAGCAUCAGGAGCCCCAGAUCCUUCUGGAAAGGCUGAAGCAUCCACACUCCAUCAGCCACCAUGAACUUGCCUACAGAACCCAUCCAGGCCAACAUUUGGCUUAACCAGCUUUUUAACUGUUUGCCAGUCCAACAGCUGGAAAGUGGCAUUGUGUUCUAGUUCUCAUGUGUGUGAUUACUAAUGACCUUGAGCUUCUCUUUAUAUGCAUACUAGCUUUGGGGUUUUUCUUUCUGUCAUCUGUCCAUAUCCCUUGCCCAUUCUUCUGCUGCGGUUGCUCUCCUUGUCUUUUUGAUUGGCAGGAGUCCCUUGUUA
This 1012-nucleotide long non-coding RNA is filed under the name Pan troglodytes (chimpanzee). RNAcentral describes it as "long non-coding RNA NONPTRT000830". The record is from RNAcentral. Lineage: Eukaryota; Metazoa; Chordata; Mammalia; Primates; Hominidae.